AAAUUCCGAAAUACCAACCCUAAACCAACCAACCAAAAAAAGAAAACAACAAACAAGAACAACCAAGAAACCUCAAGCACGUUAAACCUUUCCCAUCGCUCUUUCCAGGCUCCCUCCUGCGCCUUCUCCCACCCCCAAUGAUCUGAACGAGUCAUAUACCUAUUUGACAAGUUCAGAUCCCAGAAACAACUAUGCAACAGCUGAAGGACACCACGAGUCUAUACAACCACGACUCAAUGACGACGCAAUCGCAGACGCCCUUGUCCGAGGUGGCCGACGCGUUCGAGGAGCUCGCGCGCCGUUUGAGGCGGGAGAGGAGGAUCGUCAACGGAGAAGGCGAAUUAGGUUUCGUCGAAGAUGAACAAGAAGAUGGAGAAGAAGAUGCAGAUCUUCGAUUGGAUUUCUUUUGCGAGGCGUGCUCUUUGGUUCCCGUUCUCUUCAGCUGCCUCGGCCUCGCUUUCAAAUUCGC
This 469-nucleotide long non-coding RNA is filed under the name Linum usitatissimum (flax). Its description in RNAcentral is "long non-coding RNA (LUSI_LNC001660)". Lineage: Eukaryota; Viridiplantae; Streptophyta; Magnoliopsida; Malpighiales; Linaceae. The record is from RNAcentral.